CCUCUCCUUUCUUCACUCGGGUGAUUCACAUUUUCUCCAGGCUGCUACAGGCAUUUCAGCUGUAACCCUUUCCAGACAUCAGAAGCAUGACGACAGAAGAGGCGGUUUCCUGUAAAAGCACCCUGUAGCACAUAUCCAGAUCUUUGUGCUUUCAUUUGAAGAUGUCUACAAAACCGUGAGAAAAAUGUCUUCGGUGACAAGAUUCAUCUACCUAGGGUGUUUGGAAAAACACAAUUUGUGAUUCCAAAGAAUCUUCGGCACACAGACUUCGAUAUCAGGUAGGCAAGCUUGGCACUCCAGCUUGGCGCUCCAGUUUUGAACUACAACUCCCAUCAACCCCAGCCACAAUCUAUUGGUGGGAGUAUGCAAAAUUCACAGCAACAAAUUAACACAUAGUUUAUCUAUAGUUUGUUGUUGCCUCCAGUUCAGAGACCAAACAACAUGCCAGAUGGCUUGGAUCUCGAUAUUGGUACUCAAAAUGAGCUGCAGGAUACAUAGAAAGCUAUUACAUAUUGCAGUGAAAACGAAUGUUCCAUUAGCAUGGCAAUAAAAUGCUACGCAAAGAAAUCAACACGGAGUUCUGAAUGUACUCAGUAGUUAUUCCUGGGAUGGCUGCAUUUGGAGAGGCACUUGCAGAAGUCUGAAAGUGGGUCAUUCUGCUUCCUGAAGUCAAACAAGGAACAAACACUUGCAAAGAAAAGAAAGGAAGCAGCAUUCAUGUUGGCGGCAGAUGAAGAAAAGGUUAUUUGAACGCUUGCACAUGGUCAGAAAUAGCUAACGGUCCUCACCAGGGUUUGAAGCAUCAUUUUCACAUUUUGCUCACACACCAAAGUGUUACUUCACCCAACAAUGUCUAGGAGAGCAAGGGACAAUUAGCUGUCCUCUGCUAACUGAAAAAAGAGACAGCUUUUUAAAGUGGUGAUUCUCUUUAUUUAGCAGGGGGAGAGCAACUGGCUCUAUCCGUCCCCAGCACAGCAUCCCUCCAGUGGCUGUUGCUGGUGUUUACCUUUCUUUAGAUUGUGAGCCCUUUGGGGACAGGGAGCCAUUUUAUUUAUUUAUGUGUAUGUAUGUAAACCGCUUUGGGCAUUUGGGUUGAAAAGCGGUAAAUAAGUAUCCACUGUAGCCCAUCAACAGCUUUCCAGUCGGCUUCUCAAGAACAGAGAUCAUUUCUCCUUGUAAAGGCUGUUCACACGGUCCUAAACAGGGUCAGAGGAGGGCGCAGCCAGAGUAGGAGAGCUGUGUGCACUGCUGAUCGGUGGUCAUGUGUUUGCAAAGAUCAAGGGAGGAGGAAAGGAGAAUGAUCGUGUGGAAGCCAAGCUCUGGGUAAGACAGUUUUCUGUCCCAUCCUCCCCUCAAUACAAUGCUGGAAAUAGAAUGUGUGUUGGCUGAACUGUCCGACCCAGUUCCUGGCUUCCACAUGACCACUCUUCCUCCUCCUACCCUGAUCUUUGCAAAGACACAACUGCCGAUCGGGAAUGUGCAUGCCUCGCCCACCCUGGCUGGUUGUCCCUCUGACCCUCAUUAGAGGAAUGUGAGCAGACCCAACAGCCUGGCAGAACCACCACUCAGUUGCUCUAUCAAAUAUCGACUCCCAUGGAAACAGUAACACCAUAUUGUACGAAAGGGUCUUGAAACUCAGGGCCAGCUCUACAAUCAGGCAAUUCAAGGCAAUACCUAUUCCUAACUUCAAGAGGUACCACGACACGUAGGUGCACACACAAAUGCCUUCCAGAAAUAAGUGCCGAGCAGUGGCAAAAGUAUUUCACCUCCAUGGACAGGCAGAUCUUUCUUUUAAUGGUCGGGUUUGUAUAAUGCAUUUGAUAUUUUUAAAAACGCUGCCAUCUUUAAUCGUUUGUGGGGUGGGGGGUGUUAAAAUAUCGUAGCGCCCGCUGCAUGGUAGGCAUGGGCACAUCUCAACUCAUGUAUUUUUAAUACACCCAUCAUCACAGAAAUCAAGGUGCCAGGAAUAAAAAGCAUUUUAAGAGCAAUGAAACAACUCUCCAUAAGAGAGAGUAAGCAACACACUCUUGAGAGCUGCAAGUGUAACUUUUAUCAAUUAUUUAGCUUCCAAGGGCUUUAUUUUAAAAAUAAACAUAGGCAGAUGAGAACUCCCAGUAAAAAAUAAAAAUAAAAAACCCUAUUUGUACAAGUAAGUUUUUCUUUAGCCCUUUCAGAUUUAAAGUAACAUCCAUAAAAACAUAAGAACAUAAGAACAGCCCCACUGGAUCAGGCCCAAGGCCUAUCUAGUUCAGCAUCCUGUUUCGCACAGUGGCCCACCAGAUGCCUCUAAGAAGCCCACAGGCAAGAGGUGAGGACAAAUUAUUAUUAUUCAUUGCCUUGGCUAUUGGUAAUGAUGAGAAGGCAGUUUAGACAUUUUUAAAAGUGGAAGCUAUGCUGUUUCAACCAAGCUUUUAGCACAUCAUUUUUUACAGAUGUGUGUGACUAAUCUAAGAAGGAAAGCAAUACAGGAAGGAUUUAAGCUGCUGGCACAUUACAACGUUCUUGUCCAAGAACAGCAAUGGAUGCUUCAUGACUACUGUUAGCACAUCAUUUACCACUUUCGGAACAAUUUUAGCUUGAACCCUUGACUUUAUUUAACCUUCAAGCUACAUUCUGAAUUGAAUAAAGUGGUCAUGCUAAACAAAUGGAAAGAGCGAUAUUUUCAGCCCCCCUCUCGGGAUAAAUGAUGCAUGCUUCUGCUUCCCUGGUCUUGCAGCGUAAGAAAAAUUAUACCUACAGCAUUACUCACAAUAAAAGGUUUGUGUCAUCAUCAGCCUCCAGAGCAAUUAAUCACCUUCCUAAGUUAUUUACUGCUUUACAGGGUUUGUUCUCAAUGACAAUUAUCUCCUUGAUAGGAAGUGGGGAAAUCCAUACUGCUUCUUGCACUAAAUACAGAAUGAACUGGCAUAGAAAAAGAGAGACCUGGCCCCAAAUCUAUUACAGGAAGACAUCGAUAUUUAAGGAGGGGGUUCUGUUCCUGGCUGCCACUGCAGAUAUGGAAACGGUGAAUAUCGAGUCAUUGGGGCUAUGGGAUCACGGGGUUUAGAAAUGACCACGGUCAUUUCUGGCCACCCCAGACCUGCAGAUAUGUGAGGUUGGCAUGGUUUCCCCUUUUUUCCAGGUAUUCUGAGGCUGGGUGUCUUUUACCCAACUGCGGAUACGCGAAUUCCCAGAUUUCAAGGUCUGCCUGUAUAUCUUCUGAAUAAUUUGUGCAAAAUAAAGUCAUACUUCCCAGUGACCUAUAUAUAUCAAUUUUUUCAUAAACAAUCCUGCCACUGAAAUUAGCUGAAUGCACUACUUUUAAAACUGGAAUUUGCAUCUAGAACCAUUUUUGUUUUUUUUUAAAAUGUAAUUUUUAAAGAAGAAAAUCUGAAUAUAAUUAUAUUUGGCCUCUUCUUGUUCUCCAAUUUUUAACACUUAAUAAUCAGAUAAAUAUUUCCAAAUCAUCAUGCCCAAGUAAAACAGAAGAUUUUUCUCAGAUUCAAGUUUACUAUAAUUCAAAUACACCAUCGAUGGCCAUUAUUCAAUAAAAUGAGUAAUGUUUGAAGUUGAAAUCCUACAAAUUCCAAAUUGGUUUGUUUUUUUAACCCCUCUUUUGCAAGCACAUCAAUAAAAUAUUCUGCAAUAUA
Hemicordylus capensis (graceful crag lizard) is the source of this 3629-nucleotide long non-coding RNA. RefSeq lists it as uncharacterized. The transcript is spliced from 2 exons. The record is from RefSeq and is a predicted model, not a curated record. NCBI's taxonomy places the organism in Eukaryota, Metazoa, Chordata, Lepidosauria, Squamata, Cordylidae.